GCAGUGAUGGUUCUGUGGUAGAAUUCACGCCUUCCAUGUGGGAGACCCGGGUUUGAUUCCCGGCCAAUGUA
This is a transfer RNA of Loxodonta africana (African savanna elephant), 71 nucleotides long. It matches the Rfam family "tRNA". From Rfam's summary of the family: Transfer RNA (tRNA) molecules are approximately 80 nucleotides in length. Their secondary structure includes four short double-helical elements and three loops (D, anti-codon, and T loops). The record is from Rfam. NCBI's taxonomy places the organism in Eukaryota, Metazoa, Chordata, Mammalia, Proboscidea, Elephantidae.